GAUGAACGCUGGCGGCGUGCCUAAUACAUGCAAGUCGAACGCACAGCGAAAGCUGCUUGCACCUUUCAAGUGAGUGGCGAACGGGUGAGUAACACGUGGACAACCUGCCUCAAGGCUGGGGAUAACAUUUGGAAACAGAUGCUAAUACCGAAUAAAACUCAGUGUCGCAUGACACAAAGUUAAAAGGCGCUUUGGCGUCACCUAGAGAUGGAUCAGCGGUGCAUUAGUUAGUUGGUUGGGUAAAGGCCUACCAAGACAAUGAUGCAUAGCCGAGUGGAGAGACUGCACGGCCACAGUGGGACUGAGACACGGCCCAAACUCCUACGGGAGGCUGCAGGAGGGAAUCUUCCACAAGGGGCGAAAGCCUGAUGGAGCAACGCCGCGUGUGUGAUGAAGGCUUUCGGGUCGUAAAGCACUGUUGUAUGGGAAGGACAGCUAGAAUAGGGAAUGAUUUUAGUUUGACGGUACCAUACCAGAAAGGGACGGCUAAAUACGUGCCAGCCGCCGCCGUAA
This 513-nucleotide ribosomal RNA is filed under the name uncultured bacterium. RNAcentral describes it as "partial 16S ribosomal RNA". It matches the Rfam family "Bacterial small subunit ribosomal RNA", at positions 28 to 523 of the family's 1533-position model. The record is from RNAcentral.